Molecule: ribosomal RNA, 996 nt
Filed under: uncultured bacterium
Lineage: Bacteria
Description: SSU rRNA
Rfam family: Bacterial small subunit ribosomal RNA
Source: RNAcentral
UAACUGUUAGAAAUGACAGCUAAUACCGCAUAUGUAAUUCUUAGGCAUCUAAGAAUUAUAAAAGGUUCGUUUGAAUCGCAAAUAGAUAAGGAUGCGCCGCAUUAGUUAGUUGGUAAGGUAACGGCUUACCAAGACGAUGAUGCGUAGCCGACCUGAGAGGGUGAACGGCCACACUGGGACUGAGACACGGCCCAGACUCCUACGGGAGGCAGCAGUAGGGAAUUUUUCACAAUGGACGAAAGUCUGAUGAAGCAAUGCCGCGUGACUGAUGAAGGUCUUCGGAUUGUAAAAGUCUGUUGUAAGGGAAGAAAAGUUAGAAGAGGAAAUGCUUUUAAUUUGACUGUACCUUGCCAGAAAGCCACGGCAAACUAUGUGCCAGCAGCCGCGGUAAUACAUAGGUGGCAAGCGUUAUCCGGAAUUAUUGGGCGUAAAGGGUGCCUAGGUGGUUUUAUAAGUCUAAGGUUAAAGGCUGGAGCUUAACUCCAGUUUGCCUUGGAAACUAUAUAACUAGAGUAUAGAAGAGGUUAGUGGAAUUCCAUGUGUAGCGGUGAAAUGCGUAGAUAUAUGGAGGAACACCAGUGGCGAAGGCGACUAACUGGUCUAUCACUGACACUAAAGCACGAAAGCGUGGGGAGCAAAUAGGAUUAGAUACCCUAGUAGUCCACGCUGUAAACGAUGAGUACUAGGUGUCGACAUUAAGUCGGUGCUGCAGCUAACGCAUUAAGUACUCCGCCUGAGUAGUAUGCUCGCAAGAGUGAAACUUAAAGGAAUUGACGGGGACCCGCACAAGCGGUGGAUCAUGUGGUUUAAUUCGAAGCAACGCGAAGAACCUUACCAAGGUUUGACAUUCAAUGCAAAGCUGUAGAAAUAUAGAUUAGGUUAACAUUGACACAGGUGGUGCAUGGUUGUCGUCAGCUCGUGUCGUGAGAUGUUGGGUUAAGUCCCGCAACGAGCGCAACCCUUAUCCCUAGUUGCUAACAUUAAGUUGAGUACUUU